GGCGCACGGGUGCGUAACGCGUAUGCAAUCUACCUUUUGCAGAGGGAUAGCCCAGAGAAAUUUGGAUUAAUACCUCAUAGUAUAGUGAUACCGCAUGGUACUGCUAUUAAAGUCACAACGGCAAAAGAUGAGCAUGCGUCCCAUUAGCUAGUUGGUAAGGUAACGGCUUACCAAGGCUACGAUGGGUAGGGGUCCUGAGAGGGAGAUCCCCCACACUGGUACUGAGACACGGACCAGACUCCUACGGGAGGCAGCAGUGAGGAAUAUUGGACAAUGGGCGCAAGCCUGAUCCAGCCAUGCCGCGUGCAGGAUGACGGUCCUAUGGAUUGUAAACUGCUUUUGUACAGGAAGAAACACUCCCUCGUGAGGGAGCUUGACGGUACUGUAAGAAUAAGGAUCGGCUAACUCCGUGCCAGCAGCCGCGGUAAUACGGAGGAUCCAAGCGUUAUCCGGAAUCAUUGGGUUUAAAAGGGUCCGUAGGCGGUUUAGUAAGUCAGUGGUGAAAGCCCAUCGCUCAACGGUGGAACGGCCAUGGAUACUGCUAGACUUGAAUUAUUAGGAAGUAACUAGAAUAUGUAGUGUAGCGGUGAAAUGCUUAGAGAUUACAUGGAAUACCAAUUGCGAAGGCAGGUUACUACUAAUGGAUUGACGCUGAUGGACGAAAGCGUGGGUAGCGAACAGGAUUAGAUACCCUGGUAGUCCACGCCGUAAACGAUGGAUACUAGCUGUUGGGAGCGAUCUCAGUGGCUAAGCGAAAGUGAUAAGUAUCCCACCUGGGGAGUACGUUCGCAAGAAUGAAACUCAAAGGAAUUGACGGGGGCCCGCACAAGCGGUGGAGCAUGUGGUUUAAUUCGAUGAUACGCGAGGAACCUUACCAAGGCUUAAAUGUAGAUUGACCGGUUUGGAAACAGACUUUUCGCAAGACAAUUUACAAGGUGCUGCAUGGUUGUCGUCAGCUCGUGCCGUGAGGUGUCAGGUUAAGUCCUAUAACGAGCGCAACCCCUGUUGUUAGUUGCCAGCGAGUCAUGUCGGGAACUCUAACGAGACUGCCAGUGCAAACUGUGAGGAAGGUGGGGAUGACGUCAAAUCAUCACGGCCCUUACGCCUUGGGC
Molecule: ribosomal RNA, 1112 nt
Filed under: Flavobacterium sp.
Lineage: Bacteria; Pseudomonadati; Bacteroidota; Flavobacteriia; Flavobacteriales; Flavobacteriaceae
Description: bacterial SSU rRNA
Rfam family: Bacterial small subunit ribosomal RNA
Source: RNAcentral